GCUCGUCCUCCGGGAUGGUGGGGACACUGUUGGGACCGCCUCUGCUAAAGAGGAGGAAGGAAUGGGCAACGGUAGGUCAGCAUGCCCCGAAUUAACCGGGCUACACGCGGGCUACAAUGGGUGGGACAAUGGGUAUCGACACCGAAAGGUGAAGGCAAUCUCCUAAACCCACCCUUAGUUCGGAUUGUGGGCUGCAACUCGCCCACAUGAAGCUGGAAUCUGUAGUAAUCGUGUCUCAAAAUGGCACGGUGAAUAUGUCCCUGUCCUUGCA
RNAcentral lists this ribosomal RNA (271 nucleotides) under uncultured archaeon. RNAcentral describes it as "partial 16S ribosomal RNA". It matches the Rfam family "Archaeal small subunit ribosomal RNA", at positions 1070 to 1341 of the family's 1478-position model. The record is from RNAcentral.